RNAcentral lists this long non-coding RNA (1482 nucleotides) under Junco hyemalis (dark-eyed junco). RNAcentral's name for it is "lncRNA (ENSJHYG00000016191.1)". Lineage: Eukaryota; Metazoa; Chordata; Aves; Passeriformes; Passerellidae. The record is from RNAcentral.
CUACUUCCAAUGAAUCAAGAGUUUCUUGGAAGUUGCCAUAUCAGGGCAUUCAUUACAGGGAUGUUUAAUGAGUAGAAUAUUUGUCAUUUGCAUAGAGAGAGGCUUCAGCAGUGAUCCCAGUGAUCUGUGAUAGUCAGGUACUUGGGCACUCUGUGUAUCUGUUGGGUGAAGGAGGGGAAGCAGAUGGGACCAAUUUUUCACAAUGUCUGACAUUAAAUUUCCUAUAUGGUCUUCCAAACAGAGAUUCAAAGAGGCUGGAACCUACCUCUCCUGCUGACUGUGAAUGAAGACUGCAGUAUAUUCAGCUACAAGUCCAUCUGCUCUUUAACUUUUUUUUUUUUUUUUUAAUUCUAUCUAAGAGUGUUUUUCCUUUGAAGUUUCCAGCACCAUUUAUGAAGGCUCAAAAGGAGUAUUAUUCAUAUGUUUCAGAUGAGGAAAGCUGAACUGUCAAAGUAACAUCUGACUUGUGAGUAGCCAGUAUUCUCCAAGGCAUCAGCAUUUAAGAGGACCUGAGAAAAGAUCCUGUGCCUACCAGGAAAUUUCACUGAUCUCAUCAAGCCACAAAACUCAGGAAGGAGGAAAAAUCUGCACAAAUUAAGAAGUGCCCAGUAGAUCAUGCUGUCUUGUUGAAAACUCCAGUGGUAACUGGGCUUCUAUGGGAUUAUUUUUAGCAGUAAAAGAGUAGAUGGUGUAAGAUAAGUGAAGAGGGAUUCCAUAAAUAGCUGCAUUUCAAUUGCCUGUUUGACAUAAACUUAAUUGUUACAACAAACGGCACAAAAUGACAAAAAUGAACACCUUUCUACUCAGAAGAUAAACUGUUUUUAAAUAGAAAGGAAUGAAACCUAGGUCUAUCAUUUUUAGAAUCCCAGUGAACUAGAAUGGACAUGACUGGAGAAGCAGAGACACCUGAGCAGCUUUGAAGACAUUUCUCUGGCAUGUUCUCACUGACUCUGAGACCUAUUUCCAACCACAGUGUCUGCUCAUCCUAGUGCAGCACCCUUCAAACCUACCUUCCCCAAAGGAUUCAGCAGACAUGGUUGAGAAAAGAGCGAAGCACAAGCUGGAUCUACAGAGCCUCAGGAGGAAUCCCAGGCAAACAAUGCACUUGGGGGAAGACAUCUCAACAACAGCCAGAUCUGCUCUACUCUGCCCGCAGCCUUGGUAAGGCACAGCAUCACAGGAAGAGGAACGCGAAUUCCUGUGAGACAAGUACUGGUGCAGAGGAGGGGGGAAGACAAGACUUGAUCAUAUAAAGAAGAGUUAGGCAGGUUCCUAAGUAGAGCUGUGAGACAACAAGAGAGAGGCACAGUUGUGUUUUUAUGCACAGAAGGCCAGAGUUGAGUCUGGUUUCUUGAGGGUGAUGUCCUGGCAAGUACUCUGGCACACAUGCUGUAGUAUAGUGUUCCAGUGCAUCCGUACAUCCAUCUAUGCUGCAAAUGGCACGGGAGUGAGAUUUUAAUAAAAGAAGAAGGAAUGAAACCA